RNAcentral lists this ribosomal RNA (503 nucleotides) under Sulcomitrella aff. circumstriata EES-2022. RNAcentral describes it as "partial large subunit ribosomal RNA". It matches the Rfam family "Bacterial large subunit ribosomal RNA", at positions 1819 to 2597 of the family's 2925-position model. The record is from RNAcentral. Lineage: Eukaryota; Metazoa; Mollusca; Gastropoda; Neogastropoda; Columbellidae.
GGCUCUUUGAAGAGAAUAGAUAAAGAGUCGGACCUGCCCAGUGAAAAUUUUCAACGGCCGCGGUACUCUGACCGUGCAAAGGUAGCAUAAUCAUUUGCCUUAUAAUUGAAGGCUUGUAUGAAUGGUUUGACAAGAAUAUAGCUGUCUCUAUAUAAUUUUAUAGAAUUUUAUCUUAAAGUGAAGAAGCUUAAAUAGUAUUAAUAGACAAGAAGACCCUAUCGAGCUUGAAAUGAGGUUAUUGAAGGUAUUAAAUAGAUUUAAAAAAUUGUCUAUAAAAAAUUUUGGUUGGGGCGACUUAGGAACAGAAAAAGCUUCCUAAAUUUAUAAAUAAGCAAAUUGAUCCAAGAUGUUUUGAUUAAAGAAAUUAGUUACCGUAGGGAUAACAGCAUUAUCUUCUUUAAGAGUUCUAAUCGAAAAGAGGGUUUGUGACCUCGAUGUUGGACCAGAAUGUCCUAAAGAUGCAGCAGUCUUUAAGGGUUGGUCUGUUCGACCAUUAAAAUUCU